GGCGAACGCUGGCGGCGUGCUUAACACAUGCAAGUCGAACGGAAAGGCCCUGCUUUUGUGGGGUGCUCGAGUGGCGAACGGGUGAGUAACACGUGAGUAACCUGCCCUUGACUUUGGGAUAACUUCAGGAAACUGGGGCUAAUACCAGAUAGGAGCUCCUGCUGCAUGGUGGGGGUUGGAAAGUUUCGGCGGUUGGGGAUGGACUCGCGGCUUAUCAGCUUGUUGGUGGGGUAGUGGCUUACCAAGGCUUUGACGGGUAGCCGGCCUGAGAGGGUGACCGGCCACAUUGGGACUGAGAUACGGCCCAGACUCCUACGGGAGGCAGCAGUGGGGAAUAUUGCACAAUGGGCGGAAGCCUGAUGCAGCAACGCCGCGUGCGGGAUGACGGCCUUCGGGUUGUAAACCGCUUUCGCCUGUGACGAAGCGUGAGUGACGGUAAUGGGUAAAGAAGCACCGGCUAACUACGUG
Molecule: ribosomal RNA, 468 nt
Filed under: uncultured bacterium
Lineage: Bacteria
Description: partial 16S ribosomal RNA
Rfam family: Bacterial small subunit ribosomal RNA
Source: RNAcentral